ACAUACAAGUAGUAGGGAAGGAAACUGGACCGACCCUUCGGGGAGCUUGUACAGGUGCUGCAUGGCUGUCGUCAGCUCGUGUCGUGAGAUGUUCGGUUAAGUCCGCUAACGAGCGCAACCCUCGCUGUGUGUUAUAUGUGUCACACGGGACUGCCGGUCUUAAGCCGGAGGAAGGUGGGGAUGAUGUCAAGUCAGCAUGGCCUUUAUAUCCUGGGCUACACACACGCUACAAUGGCCAGCACAGUAGGUUGCUAAGCCGCGAGGUGGAGCCAAUCCAUAAAGCUGGUCUCAGUUCAGAUUGCAGGCUGCAACCCGCCUGCAUGAAGAUGGAGUUGCUAGUAACCGCAGGUCAGCUAUACUGCGGUGAAUACGUUCCCGGGGCUU
Molecule: ribosomal RNA, 384 nt
Filed under: uncultured Leptolinea sp.
Lineage: Bacteria; Bacillati; Chloroflexota; Anaerolineae; Anaerolineales; Anaerolineaceae
Description: bacterial SSU rRNA
Rfam family: Bacterial small subunit ribosomal RNA
Source: RNAcentral